AAUCAACGCUGGCGGCGUGCCUCAGACAUGCAAGUCGAACGAUUAAAGCUCCCUUCGGGGAGUGCAUAGAGUGGCGCACGGGUGAGUAACACGUAAGUAAUCUACCUUUGAGUGGGGAAUAACGUUCGGAAACGGACGCUAAUACCGCAUAAUGCAGCGGCAUCGCAAGAUGACAGUUGUUAAAGGAGCAAUCCGCUUAAAGAGGAGCUUGCGGCAGAUUAGCUUGUUGGUAAGGUAACGGCUUACCAAGGCUACGAUCUGUAUCCGGUCUAAGAGGACGGUCGGACACACUGACACUGAAUAACGGGUCAGACUCCUACGGGAGGCAGCAGUCGGGAAUUUGGGCAAUGGGCGAAAGCCUGACCCAGCAACGCCGCGUGAAGGAUGAAGUAUUUCGGUAUGUAAAACUUCGAAAGAAUAGGAAGAAUAAAUGACGGUACUAUUUAUAAGCUCCGGCUAAUACGUGCCAGCAGCCGCAGUAAC
This 483-nucleotide ribosomal RNA is filed under the name uncultured bacterium. RNAcentral describes it as "bacterial SSU rRNA". It matches the Rfam family "Bacterial small subunit ribosomal RNA", at positions 32 to 524 of the family's 1533-position model. The record is from RNAcentral.